RNAcentral lists this ribosomal RNA (444 nucleotides) under uncultured bacterium. Its description in RNAcentral is "partial 16S ribosomal RNA". It matches the Rfam family "Bacterial small subunit ribosomal RNA", at positions 354 to 796 of the family's 1533-position model. The record is from RNAcentral.
GUAGGGAAUAUUGGGCAAUGGUCGGAAGACUGACCCAGCCACGCCGCGUGCAGGAAGACGGCCCUCUGGGUUGUAAACUGCUUUUAUCUGGGAAGAAAAAGGCCAUGCGUGGCAAAUUGCCGGUACCAGAUGAAUAAGCACCGGCUAACUCCGUGCCAGCAGCCGCGGUAAUACGGAGGGUGCGAGCGUUGUCCGGAUUUAUUGGGUUUAAAGGGUGCGUAGGCGGCUGAUUAAGUCAGCGGUGAAAGACUUCGGCUUAACCGGAGCAGUGCCGUUGAUACUGGUUGGCUUGAGUGUCGGAGGGGUACAUGGAAUUGAUGGUGUAGCGGUGAAAUGCAUAGAUACCAUCAGGAACACCGAUAGCGAAGGCAUUGUACUGGCCGACAACUGACGCUGAUGCACGAAAGUGUGGGGAUCGAACAGGAUUAGAAACCCCGGUAGUCC